This 228-nucleotide non-coding RNA is filed under the name Bacillota bacterium. RNAcentral describes it as "Firmicutes bacterium T-box sequence". It matches the Rfam family "T-box leader". From Rfam's summary of the family: Uncharged tRNA acts as the effector for transcription antitermination of genes in the T-box leader family. T-boxes are found upstream of many aminoacyl-tRNA synthetase genes and some amino acid biosynthetic genes usually in Gram-positive bacteria. The record is from RNAcentral. Lineage: Bacteria; Bacillati; Bacillota.
UCAGAAGCUGUGAAGAGAAGAGUACGCUUUUUCUCCUGCGAAAGAGAGCCCCGGAAGGUGCGAGGGGGUGCGGCGAGGGGAGCGGAACAUGGUCUCGGAGCUGAGCCGUCGAGCGGGGAUUCUCCCCAGGCAGACGGUUCCGGGUCGUCCCGUUACAGGCGUUUGAGGUACGGACAGAAUGCCCGUGCGAAUCAAGGUGGUACCGCGUCAGUUUUUGUCGCCCUUGGA